This 684-nucleotide long non-coding RNA is filed under the name Sus scrofa (pig). RNAcentral's name for it is "lncRNA (ENSSSCG00070025132.1)". Lineage: Eukaryota; Metazoa; Chordata; Mammalia; Artiodactyla; Suidae. The record is from RNAcentral.
AUGGGAGGAGUUAAAGGAAAUAGAAAAUUCAGUAUCAAGCUCUUCGUGCCAUUACUUGAUACAAUUUCCAAAGCUACAAACUUCCUUGGAGGUUGUGGCACCCUUCCCCCCGCCGCCAAUGACUCAUAUGGCACUUGCUCUGAGCUAUCUUGCAGGACACCAGAAGUCCCACUCUUGAUGAGCCUGGCUGAUGGGUCCCGGAUCUUCACUGGAACUUCCCAGGCACCACCACAACCAUUUCGGGCUAGAAGGGGAACGUCCCAUCACUUAGCCGUACUUGAUACAACUGUCCCCACUGUUGUCACUGGCAACUGGUAAAUAUUAAGCUUCUGUUCUAUGCCAGGUACCAUGGAUACAAAGAUGAAAAAGAGACUGUAGUACUGCCCUAGGGAACUCUGGAGGAGAUAGUCACCCUGGCAAACAAGCCAACAAAAUCCCAAACAGCUUCUAGGAAGGGGCAAAAGAAAGUGGUGUCGGAGCCCCGAGGGGCAGGAACCCACUUGGCCCUGAGGAAAGAGGCCCUUGCCCUCUAUUUACAACUGACAAGCCUAAAUGGCAGGGAUUUGAAGGUCUGUGUACAGGGCACUGGGAUGUUCAGAAGGGAAGUAUUCUGUUCAUCUGCUAAGUAAUCUAUAGAUGAAGGAGUUCCCGCUGUGGUACAAUGGGAUUGGCUUAUUCUUUGGA